RNAcentral lists this transfer RNA (72 nucleotides) under Candidatus Woesebacteria bacterium RIFOXYA1_FULL_43_16. Its description in RNAcentral is "tRNA-Arg". It matches the Rfam family "tRNA". Rfam says of the family: Transfer RNA (tRNA) molecules are approximately 80 nucleotides in length. Their secondary structure includes four short double-helical elements and three loops (D, anti-codon, and T loops). Lineage: Bacteria; Candidatus Woeseibacteriota. The record is from RNAcentral. RNAcentral also lists the same sequence under 5 other names.
GCACCCGUAGCUUAACGGAUAGAGUAGGGGCUUGCGGAGCCCUUGAUGACAGUUCAAUUCUGUCCGGGUGCA